UACGUAGGUGGCAAGCGUUGUCCGGAGUUAUUGGGCGUAAAGAGCUCGUAGGUGGUUCGGUAAGUCGGAUGUGAAAUCUCCAGGCUCAACCUGGAGGGGUCAUUCGAUACUGCCGUGACUAGAGUUCGGUAGAGGAGUGUGGAAUUCCUGGUGGAGCGGUGAAAUGCGCAGAGAUCAGGAGGAACACCCGUAGCGAAGGCGGCACUCUGGGCCGAUACUGACACUGAGGAGCGAAAGCGUGGGGAGCGAACAGG
RNAcentral lists this ribosomal RNA (254 nucleotides) under uncultured bacterium. RNAcentral describes it as "partial 16S ribosomal RNA". It matches the Rfam family "Bacterial small subunit ribosomal RNA", at positions 524 to 776 of the family's 1533-position model. The record is from RNAcentral.